GAACUUUUUUUUAUUAUUAGCAUACAUGACAACUUUCCUGAUUUGUGUGGGAUUUUCCCGAUUUGAAGCAGUUGAAAAGGCAAAUCCCGAUAUCCCGAUCGGGAUUGCAAAAAUACCCCGAAAUCCCGAUUUUCUAAAAAUAUCUCCCAUUUUACGACAACAAACCCCCAUUUCCAACCGGAAUUUGAAAUCCCGCGUCAUUUCUGAACUGGCCAAUCAGAAAUCGGGACAAUAGUCAGCCAUUGCUGUUUACCUGUGUCGCAUGGUAUCGGAGUGAUGUAAUUUAUUUGGUCUGCCCGUGUCGGGGUGCUUAUUGGACAGUGCGAAGCAUGUUUUGAUAGUAAUUAAUCGAGAAGACGGAUUUCAAAUUGACAUAUCCUUUACACAAACGUGAAUGGCAAUGAUAAUAGUGUCACCACCAAACAAUCGGACAUUCCCGAUUUUUGCCUCUCGCUGACAGCAUCCAAAAUAUGCAAUAUUAAAGAUUUCAUGGGUGCAAAGGUUUUGUUCGCAAACUUCAUAGCAGGGCAGAUCACUCCUUUUCUGGUUGCAAUGCAGAUUGUUCCACCAGACUCUGCAAGCCCAUGAAAUUGUUUACAGACAAGCAAGAUCGCCUUUGUAGUCGCACCUAAAUGCAUGUGCUUUAAUUUAAAUUUUGAUAUAUAGACCAGCCAAUGUAUAUAUGGUGUAAAAGGAUGCAACUUUAAGUAUUAUUUGAUAAUAUGUAUGUGAUUUGUUGGAGAGGAUUUUUUGCUGAAUAGAUGAUUUUAAUAAAAUACUUAUCUAUAUCUUUCAAAGUUUUUUUUUUUAUAUAGUUUUGUUAAAGUUAAUGGUCAAACACACUUGAUGUAUGAUACAUGUAUAAUGAUUAGAUUGAUAUUUUAUUUGAAAAGACAAAUAUUUAUUUUCAUGGUAAAAUGUCGUGAAUUUUGAGCGUUGAAAAAAGGUCGUCGCGCGCAAAAUCCCCCAUGGGGAUUUUCAAAAGUUGGCAUGUAUGUAUUAGGUCACCUGAGUAAACUCAAAUGACCGAUUGCAAUUUGUUGUCGUGGUGCAUUAACAAUUGAACAUUUUUAACUUCUUGAUAACUACCAUUCCAAUUCUUUUCAAAUUUGGUAUGAAGAAUAAUUGGGACAAGGGGGACAUAAAUUGUGAAUUUCAGGACUCCAGCACCCUGGGGCAGGGCAAAAACUGCCCAAAAUUGACCAGUUUUCAAAAUUCUCCUCAAGAACCGCACAUAUGUAAGAAAAA
Molecule: long non-coding RNA, 1248 nt
Organism: Ostrea edulis (European flat oyster)
Lineage: Eukaryota; Metazoa; Mollusca; Bivalvia; Ostreida; Ostreidae
Exons: 2
Source: RefSeq, a predicted model, not a curated record